GACGAACGCUGGCGGCGUGCCUAAUACAUGCAAGUCGAACGAGAGCAACCGGUGCUUGCACUGGUCAAUCUAGUGGCGAACGGGUGAGUAACACGUGGGUAACCUGCCCAUCAGAGGGGGAUAACAUCCGGAAACGGAUGCUAAAACCGCAUAGGUCUUCGAACCGCAUGGUUUGAAGAGGAAAAGAGGCGCAAGCUUCUGCUGAUGGAUGGACCCGCGGUGCAUUAGCUAGUUGGUGAGGUAACGGCUCACCAAGGCCGUGAUGCAUAGCCGACCUGAGAGGGUGAUCGGCCACAUUGGGACUGAGACACGGCCCAAACUCCUACGGGAGGCAGCAGUAGGGAAUCUUCCGCAAUGGACGCAAGUCUGACGGGGCAACGCCGCGUGAGUGAAGAAGGUGUUCGGAUCGUAAAACUCUGUUGUUAGAGAAGAACAAGUGCUAGAGUAACUGUUAGCGCCUUGACGGUAUCUAACCAGAAAGCCACGGCUAACUACGUG
This 498-nucleotide ribosomal RNA is filed under the name uncultured bacterium. Its description in RNAcentral is "partial 16S ribosomal RNA". It matches the Rfam family "Bacterial small subunit ribosomal RNA", at positions 28 to 507 of the family's 1533-position model. The record is from RNAcentral.